Girardinichthys multiradiatus is the source of this 354-nucleotide long non-coding RNA. RefSeq lists it as uncharacterized. The record is from RefSeq and is a predicted model, not a curated record. NCBI's taxonomy places the organism in Eukaryota, Metazoa, Chordata, Actinopteri, Cyprinodontiformes, Goodeidae. The transcript has 3 exons.
AGGACUAUAAGAAGGAGGCGAGCCAGUACUUCGACGCCUGAGUGUUUUGCCUCCUCGUGGAUACCAAAGCCUAGUUCCUAAGAGAUCUCUGGAAGACUUCUAACAGUUUAUGGAUUCUGGAUUCUCGCUCUUCUACCUGCUGGCUGCCGGAUCAGACGUUUGCUUCAUAGCUCCAGGAGAACCCUGUCCACCCUCCUCCGAACCUCUCAGGACUACCUUGCUCUAACGUUGCUGUGUUGCUCACAGCCCCUCAAGGAUCAUAACCUGUCUCCCUGGCGGACCUAACUCAACUGGACUCGCUCAGCAUCCUCGGUUUCCAGUACCUGUAUCUGCAAAUAAAACUUCUUACUAAAC